ACACACACACACACACACAAACUAGCUUAGCAGGUUGUCACUGAUCACCGUGGUCGACGAGAAGACGACGAUGGCGGUAAGGCUGAUGCUGGUGGCGGCGCUGCUGUGCGCGGCGGCGGCGGCGGCCGCGGCGCAGCAGGCGAACAACGUGCGCGCGACGUACCACUACUACCGGCCGGCCCAGAACAACUGGGACCUGGGCGCGCCGGCGGUGAGCGCCUACUGCGCGACCUGGGACGCCAGCAAGCCGCUGUCGUGGCGGUCCAAGUACGGGUGGACGGCGUUCUGCGGCCCCGCCGG
This 300-nucleotide long non-coding RNA is filed under the name Triticum aestivum (bread wheat). RNAcentral describes it as "long non-coding RNA (TAES_LNC028251)". The record is from RNAcentral. Lineage: Eukaryota; Viridiplantae; Streptophyta; Magnoliopsida; Poales; Poaceae.